Long non-coding RNA from Sinocyclocheilus rhinocerous, 280 nucleotides. RefSeq lists it as uncharacterized. The record is from RefSeq and is a predicted model, not a curated record. NCBI's taxonomy places the organism in Eukaryota, Metazoa, Chordata, Actinopteri, Cypriniformes, Cyprinidae. The transcript is spliced from 2 exons.
GUGUGUGUGUGUGAUGAGCUGGUCUUUAGCGUCUGUCUGAUGUGUUUCAGCUCGGUGAGAAGGUGUUUCACACGGACCGAUGGGUGUCUCCGCUCACAGAGGAGCUGUUUAAUCUGCGGCCGCGAGAGGAGAUGCUGCGCAAGAAGUUCGGCUUCCUGCGGUACGUGUGACUCCAGCUAUCCCAGCAUCCCCUUCUGCGGCGUUUCCAGUGUUAGCCAUGUGUUGCUCUGUUCACACUGUAAAUGUUUCCAUAUUAAAUAUGAUUUCUUUUCCUCUCAAA